GAUCCAGACUUUGAUCAUGGCUCAGGAUGAACGCUAGCUACAGGCUUAACACAUGCAAGUCGAGGGGAAACGACAUCGAAAGCUUGCUUUUGAUGGGCGUCGACCGGCGCACGGGUGAGUAACGCGUAUCCAACCUGCCCACCACUUGGGGAUAACCUUGCGAAAGUAAGACUAAUACCCAAUGAUAUCUCUAGAAGACAUCUGAAAGAGAUUAAAGAUUUAUCGGUGAUGGAUGGGGAUGCGUCUGAUUAGCUUGUUGGCGGGGUAACGGCCCACCAAGGCAACGAUCAGUAGGGGUUCUGAGAGGAAGGUCCCCCACAUUGGAACUGAGACACGGUCCAAACUCCUACGGGAGGCAGCAGUGAGGAAUAUUGGUCAAUGGACGAGAGUCUGAACCAGCCAAGUAGCGUGCAGGAAGACGGCCCUAUGGGUUGUAAACUGCUUUUAUAAGGGAAUAAAGCGAGAGUCGUGACUCUUUUUGCAUGUACCUUAUGAAUAAGGACCGGCUAAUUCCGUGCCAGCAGCCGCGGUAAUACGGAAGGUCCGGGCGUUAUCCGGAUUUAUUGGGUUUAAAGGGAGCGUAGGCCGGAGAUUAAGCGUGUUGUGAAAUGUAGACGCUCAACGUCUGCACUGCAGCGCGAACUGGUUUCCUUGAGUACGCACAAAGUGGGCGGAAUUCGUGGUGUAGCGGUGAAAUGCUUAGAUAUCACGAAGAACUCCGAUUGCGAAGGCAGCUCACUGGAGCGCAACUGACGCUGAAGCUCGAAAGUGCGGGUAUCGAACAGGAUUAGAUACCCUGGUAGUCCGCACGGUAAACGAUGGAUGCCCGCUGUUGGUCUGAAUAGGUCAGCGGCCAAGCGAAAGCAUUAAGCAUCCCACCUGGGGAGUACGCCGGCAACGGUGCAACUCAAAUGAAUUGACGGA
This 924-nucleotide ribosomal RNA is filed under the name uncultured Bacteroidota bacterium. Its description in RNAcentral is "bacterial SSU rRNA". It matches the Rfam family "Bacterial small subunit ribosomal RNA", at positions 1 to 917 of the family's 1533-position model. The record is from RNAcentral. Lineage: Bacteria; Pseudomonadati; Bacteroidota.